UACGAAGGGGGCUAGCGUUGCUCGGAAUCACUGGGCGUAAAGCGCACGUAGGCGGAUUGUUAAGUCAGGGGUGAAAUCCUGGAGCUCAACUCCAGAACUGCCUUUGAUACUGGCGAUCUUGAGUUCGGGAGAGGUGAGUGGAACUGCGAGUGUAGAGGUGAAAUUCGUAGAUAUCGGGAGGAACACCAGUAGCGAAGGCGGUUCUCUGGGCCGGCACUGACGCUGAGGAGCGAAAGCGUGGGGAGCAAACAGG
RNAcentral lists this ribosomal RNA (253 nucleotides) under uncultured bacterium. RNAcentral describes it as "partial 16S ribosomal RNA". It matches the Rfam family "Bacterial small subunit ribosomal RNA", at positions 524 to 776 of the family's 1533-position model. The record is from RNAcentral.